This 542-nucleotide long non-coding RNA is filed under the name Spirodela polyrhiza (greater duckweed). RNAcentral describes it as "long non-coding RNA (SPOL_LNC000405)". The record is from RNAcentral. Lineage: Eukaryota; Viridiplantae; Streptophyta; Magnoliopsida; Alismatales; Araceae.
AUUGUUAUUGAUGUUAUCAACUAUAAUCACUAUACAAGAACAUGCAACUUUCUAAUUGUUGGUGUGUAAAAGGCUCAUGCCACAAAAAAUCGACGGAAAUGUGUUUCAGGAGGAAAGAGUAAAUACAUUUCUCUCUAGAGAUCAAACAUGCAUGAACACUGAAUAGGCCUUUCCUCAUACAACAGAAAAUACAAACAUGACAAAGAUCGGAAAUUAUGCAGAUGUUGAUGGCAUCUGGAGAAAAAGAAUCUACAUAUUGAUGGAACCAAUGCCUCUUGAUUUUGUUCGGUUCAAUGGUUGGGAAGCUAAGCUCCUUAUAAAGGAUUGACCGAGUACCCUUUUGUGGACUGUGCUGUGAGCCAACAUAUGAACCACCACAGACUGAAGUAAAAACUGUUUACAAACUUUAUAAAAAUUACAACUUACAAGGAAUAGCUUGCACAGUUAUUGGGUGAUUGAACCGAUUGGAGAACUCUUAUGAGGAGGCACAGCAGGAACCAAACGUAGAUAAUUGCUCAAUCUAAUUAAGAUUAUCAUACCAC